Molecule: transfer RNA, 75 nt
Filed under: Bacteroidia bacterium
Lineage: Bacteria; Pseudomonadati; Bacteroidota; Bacteroidia
Description: tRNA-Leu
Rfam family: tRNA
About the family: Transfer RNA (tRNA) molecules are approximately 80 nucleotides in length. Their secondary structure includes four short double-helical elements and three loops (D, anti-codon, and T loops). Further hydrogen bonds mediate the characteristic L-shaped molecular structure. tRNAs have two regions of fundamental functional importance: the anti-codon, which is responsible for specific mRNA codon recognition, and the 3' end, to which the tRNAs corresponding amino acid is attached (by aminoacyl-tRNA synthetases). tRNAs cope with the degeneracy of the genetic code in two manners: having more than one tRNA (with a specific anti-codon) for a particular amino acid; and 'wobble' base-pairing, i.e. permitting non-standard base-pairing at the 3rd anti-codon position.
Source: RNAcentral
GCCCUCUUAGCCCAAUUCGGCAGAGGCAACGGUUUUAGAAACCGUCGAGUGUGGGUUCGAGUCCCAUAGAGGGUA